GAGAGAAUACGGAAUACUCAGACUGAGGUC
Molecule: non-coding RNA, 30 nt
Filed under: Rattus norvegicus (Norway rat)
Lineage: Eukaryota; Metazoa; Chordata; Mammalia; Rodentia; Muridae
Source: RNAcentral